GUGCCACCUUUGAGUCCCCUGAGCCACAAGGAGGGGUUAGGCUGCAGCAUUAUAGCAAUUGCUGGCACAUCACUGGGGCUACCUGCCCGUUACAGGCGGCCCUAAAAAAAAGAAAAAAAC
Molecule: small nucleolar RNA, 120 nt
Organism: Arvicanthis niloticus (Nile rat)
Lineage: Eukaryota; Metazoa; Chordata; Mammalia; Rodentia; Muridae
Source: RefSeq, a predicted model, not a curated record